AUUGCCUCAGUAACGGCGAGUGAAGCGGCAAAAGCUCAAAUUUGAAAUCUGGCCCCUCCGGGGUCCGAGUUGUAAUUUGUAGAGGAUGCUUCGGGUGCGGCCCCCGUCUAAGUGCUCUGGAACGGGCCAUCGGAGAGGGUGAGAAUCCCGUCUGGGAUGGGGUGCCCGCGUCCGUGUGAAGCUCCUUCGACGAGUCGAGUUGUUUGGGAAUGCAGCUCUAAAUGGGUGGUAAAUUUCAUCUAAAGCUAAAUACUGGCCGGAGACCGAUAGCGCACAAGUAGAGUGAUCGAAAGAUGAAAAGCACUUUGAAAAGAGAGUUAAACAGCACGUGAAAUUGUUGAAAGGGAAGCACUGGCAACCAGACUCGCCCACGGGGUUCAGCCGGCCUUCGGGCCGGUGUACUUCCCCGGGGGGCGGGCCAGCGUCGGUUUGGGCGGCCGGUUAAAGGCCCCCGGAAUGUAACGUCCCUCGGGGCGCCUUAUAGCCGGGGGUGUCAUGCGGCCAGCCUGGACCGAGGAACGCGCUUCGGCACGGACGCUGGCAUAAUGGUUGUCAAUGACCCGUCUUGAAACACGGACCAAGGAGUCUAACAUCUACGCGAGUGUUCGGGUGGCAAACCCGUGCGCGGAGUGAAAGCGAACGGAGGUGGGAGCCCCCUCGAGGGGCGCACCAUCGACCGAUCCUGAUGUCUUCGGAUGGAUUUGAGUAGGAGCGUAGCUGUGGGGACCCGAAAGAUGGUGAACUAUGCCUGAAUAGGGCGAAGCCAGAGGAAACUCUGGUGGAGGCUCGCAGCGGUUCUGACGUGCAAAUCGAUCGUCAAAUUUGGGUAUA
This 831-nucleotide ribosomal RNA is filed under the name Aspergillus halophilicus. Its description in RNAcentral is "partial large subunit ribosomal RNA". It matches the Rfam family "Eukaryotic large subunit ribosomal RNA", at positions 74 to 919 of the family's 3401-position model. Lineage: Eukaryota; Fungi; Ascomycota; Eurotiomycetes; Eurotiales; Aspergillaceae. The record is from RNAcentral.